This is a long non-coding RNA of Echinops telfairi (small Madagascar hedgehog), 241 nucleotides long. RefSeq lists it as uncharacterized. NCBI's taxonomy places the organism in Eukaryota, Metazoa, Chordata, Mammalia, Afrosoricida, Tenrecidae. The transcript has 3 exons. The record is from RefSeq and is a predicted model, not a curated record.
CACUUACUGAAGCUUCCAAGACAAAAAGCACCACCGUGAAUAUAAAUCACAGCUCGUUUCGGGGUUUCUGACUUCUUCUUUGGUUUUAGGAUUACCUUCACCCCUGGCUAUCUGCUUCUGUACAGACAGACAGAUUUGGACACCCUACACAGGUUCUAUGAAUAGGAAUGACUCAAUGGCAAUGGGUUGAAUCAGAACUCUUCGUUACAAAAUUCUGUCAUAAGAAGGACAUAAAUGAAGA